This 393-nucleotide long non-coding RNA is filed under the name Paramuricea clavata. Lineage: Eukaryota; Metazoa; Cnidaria; Anthozoa; Malacalcyonacea; Plexauridae. The record is from RNAcentral.
AUUUGAUGAAGCCAAAAUAGUUUUUCUGAGUUAUGAGCAGAAAUACUUGACCCCAAACGUUGGGCUAUAUAUCAAAUUGAAGCUAUUGAAAAUUGCUAUUUGGUGUGGAAAUUUCAAGACUUCAGCGAAAAGAAAAAUAUUUAAAAAAUACAAAAACAACUGCAAAACGGCAAAUUAUCGGUAAUUAUGUUUGUAGUUUUUCAAUAUUUCCCUUUUAGCUAUAGUCUUGAAAUUUCUACACCAAAUAGCGUUUUUCAAUAGCUUCAAUUUGAUACAUAGCCCAACGUUCAGUGUUGAGUAUUUCUGCUCAUAACUCAGAAAAACUAAAAUGCACUGGCUUCAAUUUCCCCCCCUGAGUUAGCCUUCCAGUUUAUUUAUAGUUCAAUGGGUUGA